This 1532-nucleotide ribosomal RNA is filed under the name Bacillus thuringiensis. Its description in RNAcentral is "bacterial SSU rRNA". It matches the Rfam family "Bacterial small subunit ribosomal RNA". Lineage: Bacteria; Bacillati; Bacillota; Bacilli; Caryophanales; Bacillaceae. The record is from RNAcentral.
GCACUGUCGGUAGGCUAUACAUGCAGUCGAGCGAAUGGAUUGAGAGCUUGCUCUCAUGAAGUUAGCGGCGGACGGGUGAGUAACACGUGGGUAACCUGCCCAUAAGACUGGGAUAACUCCGGGAAACCGGGGCUAAUACCGGAUAACAUUUUGAACUGCAUGGUUCGAAAUUGAAAGGCGGCUUCGGCUGUCACUUAUGGAUGGACCCGCGUCGCAUUAGCUAGUUGGUGAGGUAACGGCUCACCAAGGCAACGAUGCGUAGCCGACCUGAGAGGGUGAUCGGCCACACUGGGACUGAGACACGGCCCAGACUCCUACGGGAGGCAGCAGUAGGGAAUCUUCCGCAAUGGACGAAAUCACGGAGGACAGACGGCCGGUUGACGUGCAUUGAAUCGGGUUCGGGUCGUCAAACUCUGUUGGUUACGGGAGAACAAGGGCUAGUAGAUUAAGGCUGACAACUUGACGGGUACCUAAUCUGAACGACAUGGCUAACCUACGUGCCAGCAGACCCAGUAAUACGUAAGUAGGUAGCGUUACUCCCGUAUUAUUUGGGCGUAAAGGCGCGCACAGGUGCUUUCUUAAUGUCUGAUGUGAAAGUCCCAACGGCCUCAACCAGUGGAGCGUCAUUGGAAACUGGGAGACCUGGAGUGCAGAAGAGGCAAAGUGGAAACUUCCAUGUGUAGCGGUGAAAUGCGUAGAGAUAUGAAGGAACGCCAAGUGGUCGAACGGCGACUUUCUGGUCUGUAACUGACACUGAGGCGCGAAAUGCGUGGGGAGCAAACACGAUUAGAUACCCCUAGGUAGUUCCACGCCAGUCACACGAUGAGUGGCUAAGUGUUAGAUGGUUUCCCGUCCCUUUAGUGCUGACAGUUAACGCAUUAAAGCACUCCUCCAGGGGAGUACCCGCCGCAAGGAUGAAACUCAGAGGAAUUGACGGGGGGCCGGCACAAGCCGGUGGAGGCAUGUGGUAUCACUUCGGAGCGACGCGCAGCAACUUACCACGUCAUGACAUGCUCUGAACAGCCUAGAGAUAGGGUAGCUCAUUCGGGAGCAGAGGUGACAGAUGGUGCAUGCAUGUCGUCAGCCUCCUGUCUUGAGUAUGUUGGGUUAAGUCCCCCCACAAGAGCAACCCCUCGAUCUUAGUUGCCAUCAUUACAGGGGGGACUCUCAAGGUAACUGCCGCUAACAAACCGGAGGCAGGUGGGGUGGAUCCCAUAUCAUCCUGCCCCUUAUGACCUGGGCUACACACGUGCUACAAUGGACGGUACAAAGAGCUGCAAGACCGCGAGGUGGAGCUAAUCUCAUAAAACCGUUCUCAGUUCGGAUUGUAGGCUGCAACUCGCCUACAUGAAGCUGGAAUCGCUAGUAAUCGCGGAUCAGCAUGCCGCGGUGAAUACGUUCCCGGGCCUUGUACACACCGCCCGUCACACCACGAGAGUUUGUAACACCCGAAGUCGGUGGGGUAACCUUUUUGGAGCCAGCCGCCUAAGGUGGCACAGAUGAUUGGGGCAAGUCGAACAAUGAGACCACCC